RNAcentral lists this ribosomal RNA (253 nucleotides) under uncultured bacterium. RNAcentral's name for it is "partial 16S ribosomal RNA". It matches the Rfam family "Bacterial small subunit ribosomal RNA", at positions 524 to 776 of the family's 1533-position model. The record is from RNAcentral.
UACGGGGGGGGCAAGCGUUGUUCGGAAUUACUGGGCGUAAAGGGCGCGUAGGCGGCCUGCUAAGUCGGAUGUGAAAUCCCUCGGCUCAACCGAGGAACUGCAUCCGAUACUGGCGGGCUUGAAUCCGGGAGAGGGAUGUGGAAUUCCAGGUGUAGCGGUGAAAUGCGUAGAUAUCUGGAGGAACACCGGUGGCGAAGGCGGCAUCCUGGACCGGUAUUGACGCUGAGGCGCGAAAGCUAGGGGAGCAAACAGG